GACGAACGCUGGCGGCGUGCUUAACACAUGCAAGUCGAACGAGAAAGCACCUUCGGGUGUGAGUACAGUGGCGAACGGGUGAGUAACACGUGGGCAACCUGCCCUGGAGACUGGGAUAACGUUCCGAAAGGGACGCUAAUACCGGAUGACGCGCGAUCUGCCAAGUAGGUCGCGCCAAAUGGUAGCUUCGGCUUCUACUCUGGGAUGGGCCCGCGCCGGAUUAGCUUGUUGGUGGGGUAAUGGCUCACCAAGGCGACGAUCCGUAGCGGGUCUGAGAGGAUGAUCCGCCACACUGGAACUGAGACACGGUCCAGACACCUACGGGUGGCUG
This 331-nucleotide ribosomal RNA is filed under the name uncultured Actinomycetes bacterium. Its description in RNAcentral is "bacterial SSU rRNA". It matches the Rfam family "Bacterial small subunit ribosomal RNA", at positions 28 to 351 of the family's 1533-position model. The record is from RNAcentral. Lineage: Bacteria; Bacillati; Actinomycetota; Actinomycetes.